GCUGGUGGUAACUAAGGUAUUGCAUCGCUCAUAUCACUUGAAAAAAACAUUUACCCUAGUUACGACCAAAGCUGCUUAGCAGAGGGCGAUACCUCAUCAGGAGCGCCACAAUCAUAUCAUUGGUGUGAAAGCAUUUGUAUGAAGUUUUUCAGUUCUCAAUGUGUUCAAAACCUUAAUUGUGAAAUUGUGCACUUCGAAUUCAAAUUCACGUCACUACGUUAGUUUGACAUCCAUUGAUGUCACGGUAAUUUCACUGUUAUGCUGUGCUGCUUUCAGGUUUAAUGACACAAAUGAGUACAAGUACAUUACAUUUUUCGACGAAGGCCUUCUGUAAUUUCAUACGCUUCUUACGCAACAUUCAAUAGAUUUAUUUACUGUAUUAUCAUUUCGACCAAGGCGAAUUCGACACUUCAAUUACACAAGCACAAUCAAACUUAGUCAUUCCAGUCAGUUACUGAAGCACAGCGAAAACUGUCUGAAUUAGUGCUGCUGAUGGCAUGUACUCUACUACCACUACCAGUGACAGUCAAUGUCCAUAUAUUUUCAAGUGUGCGAAAUUAGUACUCGUCUACUUCUUAGUGUUAUUUGAAUGCAAUGUAUGUUAUAAAAAUAUUUUUUCAACACUAUAUCAACAUUCUCAUUCCUGUCAGUUUCUGAAAAUCAGCUAAAGCAAUCGCUACCAAUGCAGCUGAUAACAGCAAUUCUUUUUGUUCCCAAUGCCCAUCCAUGACAAUAUAUUUCACGCAUGUGACAAUCAUGUAAUCAUCCUGUUUUUUGUGUUCUAUUCAUGCAAUAAAUAAAUUCAGUAUUUUCAAAUCAUUGGUGCUACAAAACUAUUCUCAUUAUAGAUUAUUCAUAUUUUAUAAAAUGCUGUCAUG
Molecule: long non-coding RNA, 878 nt
Organism: Lineus longissimus
Lineage: Eukaryota; Metazoa; Nemertea; Pilidiophora; Heteronemertea; Lineidae
Exons: 3
Source: RefSeq, a predicted model, not a curated record